ACAGAGGUGGCGAGCGUUGUUCGGAUUUAUUGGGCGUAAAGCGAACGCAGGUGGUUUGGUAAGUCAGGGGUGAAAGCCCACAGCUUAACUGUGGCACUGCCUUUGAUACUGCCUUUCUUGAGUGCAUGAGGGGGAAGCGGAAUUCCGAGUGUAGAGGUGAAAUUCGUAGAUAUUCGGAGGAACACCGGUGGCGAAGGCGGCUUCCUGGCAUGUAACUGACACUCAUGUUCGAAAGCGUGGGUAGCAAACAGGAUUAGAUACCCUGGUAGUCCACGCCCUAAACGAUGGGCACUAGGUGUGGGAGGUAUCGACCCCUUCCGUGCCGCAGCUAACGCAUUAAGUGCCCCGCCUGGGGAGUACGGCCGCAAGGUUG
Molecule: ribosomal RNA, 373 nt
Filed under: uncultured bacterium
Lineage: Bacteria
Description: bacterial SSU rRNA
Rfam family: Bacterial small subunit ribosomal RNA
Source: RNAcentral